This 435-nucleotide ribosomal RNA is filed under the name uncultured bacterium. RNAcentral describes it as "partial 16S ribosomal RNA". It matches the Rfam family "Bacterial small subunit ribosomal RNA", at positions 30 to 507 of the family's 1533-position model. The record is from RNAcentral.
AGCGAACGCUGGCGGCAGGCCUAACACAUGCAAGUCGAGCGGGCACUCUCGGGUGUCUGCGGCUGACGGGUGAGUAACGCGUGGGAACGUGGCCACUGGUUCGAAAUAACUCAGGGAAACUGGAGCUAAUACCGGAUACGCCCCUUUUGCGGCAGGCUUGCUUCGGGAGGAUCGGGCCGCGCCUGAUUAGCUAGUUGGUUAGGUAACGGCGCACCAAGGCGACUAUCAGUAGCUGGGCUGAGAGGAUGAUCAGCCACACCGGGGCUGAGCCACGGUCGAGAAUCUUGCGCAAGGCGGGAGAGGCGGAUCCUGGAAUACCGGGGCAGGGCUGAUGCAGCCCUGCCGCGAAAGUGAUGAAGUCGUGAGGGAAGAGCAGCACGUUUAUCCGGGACGAUAAUGACGGUACCGGAAGAAUAAGCCCCGGCUAACUUCGUG